GUAAUCUAGUGAUAAAGUAAAAAUUAAUGCUGAUUUUUAAUGGUGUUAAAUUGUUAAUGCACAGAUUUCCUAAGGAUGCUGAGCGAAGGCUGGAGUGGUGUAAUGCAGUGCAGAUGCAGACGGCAGCUCUGGAGCCGUUCACUCUGUCCUGUAACAGCGUGCUGUGCAGUAAACACUUCACCGAGGACAUGUUCGACCGCACUGGCCAGACUGUCCGUCUGAGAGACACUGCCGUACCCUCUGUCUUUAAUUUACAAAUCACUAAGAAAGUAAAAGAUGAAGCUACAAAAGAGAUGAUUCCACACAAAAGGAGAAACAGUGCACAUCUGCUGAGAAGAAGAAGAAAGAAGAAUUGGGAAGGAAGCAAUAAAGAGAGAAUACAAAGCACAGCCUCAGGUCUGGGAGAGUUGGCUCUGGCGGCUGAGCUGAUGGAGGAGAGCCAGCAGGAGAUUCAGAAAGGAUUCCAGAACGACCACGGUGGCCUUCCCCUCCCGUCCGACCCGGCGAGACUGAGCGUUCUGGUGCGAAACCUGGCGAAAGAGAGACACUGGCAGGGGGAGACGCUGCUCUCGCUCCGCAAAGAGCUCAAAACCAAGGACGCUCAGCUGCAGGAGAAGAAGGUCACUCCAUCCUCUCGUGCGAGCAUGUUCACUGUGAAGGCUCUGUGCCGUGGUUCGGUGAAGUGGCUCCAUUUCUACACUGGUUUUAAAUCGUACGCUCGUUUCCGGGCUCUGCUGGCCUUCCUGCAGGGCUCCGAUGGAUCCGUCCUGCACUGGAAUGAUCGGGAGGAGGAGGAGGAAAAGAGCUUGGAGGAUGAAGGGAUGAGUGAGAAGAUGGAGAAGAAUCCAAGUUCAGACCAAACUUCAACGGAAGAGUCGAGGCUUCAGGUAUCAGAGGAUGAUGCUACAGCAGCAGCAGGACCUGAUUCUGGAGGCUGGAGGUGGGAGGAGACAGCGGAGACGGUGAGGCUGAGGCUGAUUGGUUCUCAGCGGGGUGAGGAGAGCAGACGCUACGCCCUCAGCCCGGAGGACCAGCUGCUGCUGGUGCUGACCCGCCUCCGCCUGGGCCUCCUCACCUCAGACCUGUCCUUCCGCUUCCAAAUAGCAGAGGCCACCGUCUCCCGCAUGUGGGUGCAGUGGGUGGAGCUCCUGCGGAAGAAGCUGCAGCAGAUCCCGGUGCGCUGCAGUCCUCAUUACGUCUCCGUAUUUCAGCCUAAACACACUCUGUCCUGUGUUUCGGGUCGUCAGCUGACCGUCCUGCACUGCGUGGACCUCUUCUGUAGCUCCUCAAAACGGGACCGGCAGCAGGCGGCCAGAAGGCUACGCCCCUCCUCAGACGGGCAGCACCUAUCAGCUCUGCCGUAUCGAUUUCCCUGCCCGGUCCGUGUCUGCGCCGUGGCCUCGCCGGAGGGCUACCUGGGCUUCUGCAGCUCCGCCCGCCUGGACGAGUGGCAGGAGUGGACAGCCAAUCAGGAUAACCCAAAGCCUUUAACCUUACCUGCGUUUGUAAUGAAUGGGGAGGGGGCGGAGCCUCUCGCUGGUAUGCCAGUAAGGGAAGUGCUGAGUAUUAAGAGUCUGACGGACAAAGUGAUGAAAUAUCAUUAUCUGAGGACGGUUCAUGCACACGGGUCAGAGGCUCUGCUGGACCAGGCCUGGGAGGUGUGCUGCUACCUGGCCUGCCUACUGUAUCAGCCAAUGGGGCUGCGCUAACUGCAGGUCACUAGCCAAUAGGGCUCCAAGAUACUGGAAAAAUAAUUUUUGGCUCUGCAGCGUAUAUUGCUGUUAGUGUUGUUGUCAAGACCACUAGACCUGAUUCAAGACCAAGACUUGUAGGUAUUUGAGUCCAAGUCAAGACCAAAAGUUUUGGUAGUUAAAUCUGAGUCCAAGACCAAGACUUCUAGUUGUUGAGUCCAAGUCAAGACCAAGACUUUUGGUGAUCAAGUCCAUUUCAAAAUCAAGACUUUUGGUAGUUGAAUCCAAGUGAAGACCAAGACUUUCAGUUGUUGAAUCCAAGUCAAGACCAAGACUUUUGGUUGUUGAGUCCAAGACUGUUGGGCAUUGAGUCUGAAUCAAGACCAAGACUUUUGGUAGUUAAAUCUGAGUCAAGACCAAGAUUUUCAAUUGUUGAGUCUGAGUCAAUACCAAUAUUUUGUUAGUUGAGCCAGAGUCAAGACCUGGACAUAUUGAGUCCAAAACAAGUCUUUUGGUAGUUGAGUUAGAGUCAAGAUGAGUUCAAGUCAUAGAGUCCAAGUCAAGACCAAGACUUGGACAUAUAAUAUUAUUUUUUUAUUAGUAAGAUGAAUUAUUAUAAAAACAGCAGUUUAAACUGAAAAGAAAGUGUCAUUUUACCUGCACAAAACAUUGCAUAACACAAAUUGUUUGUUGAAGUUUUAACAAUGUCUUUUUCAUAAUUAAGGCAUUUUAUGUAUUCAUUUAACUCCUGUAUUUUCCUAAAAAAAU
This 2459-nucleotide long non-coding RNA is filed under the name Astyanax mexicanus (Mexican tetra). Its description in RNAcentral is "lncRNA (ENSAMXG00005017364.1)". Lineage: Eukaryota; Metazoa; Chordata; Actinopteri; Characiformes; Acestrorhamphidae. The record is from RNAcentral.